Molecule: non-coding RNA, 453 nt
Organism: Paramuricea clavata
Lineage: Eukaryota; Metazoa; Cnidaria; Anthozoa; Malacalcyonacea; Plexauridae
Source: the annotation of a GenBank genome assembly
GGAUUAGCGUUUGGAUUGGAAGUAUACAUGAUGCGCGACUGACAGUCGCCAUUUACUCGCAUACUUUACCGACUAUAUAGUCGUGUGGAUAUGGUCGUACCGGCUGGGGAUUUGCAUAUGGACUGCUGCUAUAUCGGUCAGCGGUCAUUCAUCAAAAAAUUCUUAAUUAUGAUUUUUGAAGACGCUUCGAGCCUUCGAAGUUCGAAGCACAUGAACAAUGAUACCGUCGAUUGCAACUAAGCAGAAACAUGUCAUGAGAAAACACGUCCAAUUGGCUGUCAAACAUGAUUUGUUUGGACUUGAAAUAUUGACAGUCAACUGUCAAUAUUUCAAAUUUAGAAACACAUUCAUAUUGGGCGGGGAUUAGCUUGCAAACACUAAAUCUGUGAUUAAAUUCGCCUGAAUUAAAUUCGACGUAUGAAACAGGCCUUAUAUUUUGCGUUUAUAGUGGAC